RNAcentral lists this ribosomal RNA (505 nucleotides) under uncultured bacterium. RNAcentral's name for it is "partial 16S ribosomal RNA". It matches the Rfam family "Bacterial small subunit ribosomal RNA", at positions 28 to 507 of the family's 1533-position model. The record is from RNAcentral.
GACGAACGCUGGCGGCGUGCCUAAUACAUGCAAGUAGAACGCACAGUUUAUACCGUAGCUUGCUACACCAUAGACUGUGAGUUGCGAACGGGUGAGUAACGCGUAGGUAACCUGCCUGGUAGCGGGGGAUAACUAUUGGAAACGAUAGCUAAUACCGCAUAAUAUUAAUUAUUGCAUGAUAAUUAAUUGGAAGGUGCAAUUGCACCACUACCAGAUGGACCUGCGUUGUAUUAGCUAGUAGGUGAGGUAACGGCUCACCUAGGCGACGAUACAUAGCCGACCUGAGAGGGUGAUCGGCCAAACUGGGACUGGGACACGGCCCAGACUCCUACGGGAGGCAGCAGGAGGGAAUCUUCGGCAAUGGACGAAAGUCUGACCGAGCAACGCCGCGUGAGUGAAGAAGGUUUUCGGAUCGUAAAGCUCUGUUGUAAGAGAAGAACGGGUGUGAGAGUGGAAAGUUCACACUGUGACGGUAUCUUACCAGAAAGGGACGGCUAACUACGUG